UUCAGAGGGGGACAACAGUUGGAAACGACUGCUAAUACCGCAUACGAUCUAACCUCGGCAUCGAGGAUAGAUGAAAGGUGGCCUCCACAUGUAAGCUAUCACUGAAGGAGGGGAUUGCGUCUGAUUAGCUAGUUGGAGGGGUAACGGCCCACCAAGGCGAUGAUCAGUAGCCGGUCUGAGAGGAUGAACGGCCACAUUGGGACUGAGACACGGCCCAG
RNAcentral lists this ribosomal RNA (218 nucleotides) under uncultured bacterium. Its description in RNAcentral is "partial 16S ribosomal RNA". It matches the Rfam family "Bacterial small subunit ribosomal RNA", at positions 132 to 334 of the family's 1533-position model. The record is from RNAcentral.